GCUUUGAGCAAACUGUGACAUUUCGAGUACUAAUGCCACAGCAUAGGUAAAAUUAAUUAAACAGAUUAAUUAAAACUUUUACAAAAUACAAAUAUUAAAUUUUCUUUCAUAAAAUAAAACAUAUUUUUAUCCAAAAUAACACUAACACAAAUUUAAGCCAAAUAACACACCAUGACAUAUUCCCCCCUACUCUUAUAUGUUUGUCCCCAAACAUGAUACAUAUAUACAUACAUUCACACUUAAAAUAAUCUUUAUACACUACAAUAAACUAUACAUAACCUGGCGCCAGAAAAAAUUGUAUGUACAAUAAUUGUUUGCUAGCUAGCUUCUCCCAACCUUUAUAUUUUUGUGUAAAUCUCAAAAAAAAAAACAAGACACUUUAACCAAAAUCAAAAGAUGAAGUAAUAAGAAAUAGUAUGCGUGCACUCACACUAAGUCCUAGAACUACCUACCCCGAAAAAAAAAUGUUUUAGAAAAACUA
This 481-nucleotide long non-coding RNA is filed under the name Mytilus galloprovincialis (Mediterranean mussel). Lineage: Eukaryota; Metazoa; Mollusca; Bivalvia; Mytilida; Mytilidae. The record is from RNAcentral.